RNAcentral lists this small nuclear RNA (117 nucleotides) under Chrysolophus pictus (golden pheasant). RNAcentral's name for it is "U5 spliceosomal RNA (ENSCPIG00010010016.1)". It matches the Rfam family "U5 spliceosomal RNA". Rfam says of the family: U5 RNA is a component of both types of known spliceosome. The precise function of this molecule is unknown, though it is known that the 5' loop is required for splice site selection and p220 binding, and that both the 3' stem-loop and the Sm site are important for Sm protein binding and cap methylation. Lineage: Eukaryota; Metazoa; Chordata; Aves; Galliformes; Phasianidae. The record is from Rfam by way of RNAcentral.
AUACUCUGGUUUCUCUUCAGAUCAUAUAAAUCUUUCGCCUUUUACUAAAGAUUUUCGUGGAGAGGAACAAGCACGAGUGUCAUGGAAUUUUUUGAGGCUCCGCUUCGGCCCUGGAGC